Long non-coding RNA from Tachysurus vachellii, 829 nucleotides. RefSeq lists it as uncharacterized. The transcript is spliced from 5 exons. Lineage: Eukaryota; Metazoa; Chordata; Actinopteri; Siluriformes; Bagridae. The record is from RefSeq and is a predicted model, not a curated record.
AACAGAACUUACAAACACAGCACGUAACAUGAUCAGAUAAAGUUUGUUAAUUAAAUGAGAUUUUUCAUUUCAGUUAAAACUUUCACAAAGCUUCUGCAGUAGGCUACAGACUGUAAUAUCUCCUGUGUGCCUUUUAGAUCAUGAACAUACACUGAUAUAGAGCAUGAAUACAGUAGGUUGUAGCUUCGCAAUGAAAUACUACUACUACUACUACUACUACUAAUAAUAAUAAUAAUAAUAAUAAUAAUUUUAAAUAAUUCAUUAAUAAUAAUAGCUUUAUUAUUUUUCCUUUUGAUAUAUUUUAUUAAUGCUUGUUAUCAACAAUUAUGAACCUGUGCACACGUCAUAUCCGUCGUGUUUAUUUAUGUUUAAACUGCCUCUAUUAUGAUGCCGCGUUCCAUCGAAUCAUUUUAAAUCCAAACACAACACUGAGCUGAACGGAGCAACAUUGAAUAUCUGCACUAAAAUAAAGAGAUUUUAGAAGAAAACUCCAUGGAUUUCCGCGCUCCUCCCGACCAAACUCAGUCAGCUCACGGCUCCUUCAUCUCCCAGUCUGACGUACUGAACAGUGCUGCAACUAAACAGAUUUAAACACACACCAAUAACACAAGUCUGCUGUUCCUGCACCAGCUCGGAAGCCGCUGACUAUCUACAUGUUGGAGUCAGCUGAUCUGGACGAACAGAUCAGGAUGCUGCGUCGAGCAGAUUGCUGCUGUGCUUCAGGCGAGGGAAGCUGGCCAGGAUGUGCAUUUUCCUUCACUCAAGAAGAAGAAGAGGACGAGGAGAAAGAAGAACAUCUAAUAUUUUCAAUAAACUGUAUAUAUUGUAA